GACGAACGCUGGCGGCGUGCCUAAUACAUGCAAGUAGAACGCUGAAGAGAGGAGCUUGCUCUUCUUGGAUGAGUUGCGAACGGGUGAGUAACGCGUAGGUAACCUGCCUUGUAGCGGGGGAUAACUAUUGGAAACGAUAGCUAAUACCGCAUAACAAUGGAUGACACAUGUCAUUUAUUUGAAAGGGGCAAUUGCUCCACUACAAGAUGGACCUGCGUUGUAUUAGCUAGUAGGUGAGGUAAUGGCUCACCUAGGCGACGAUACAUAGCCGACCUGAGAGGGUGAUCGGCCACACUGGGACUGAGACACGGCCCAGACUCCUACGGGAGGCAGCAGUAGGGAAUCUUCGGCAAUGGGGGCAACCCUGACCGAGCAACGCCGCGUGAGUGAAGAAGGUUUUCGGAUCGUAAAGCUCUGUUGUAAGUCAAGAACGGGUGUGAGAGUGGAAAGUUCACACUGUGACGAUAGCUUACCAGAAAGGGACGGCUAACUACG
Molecule: ribosomal RNA, 495 nt
Filed under: uncultured bacterium
Lineage: Bacteria
Description: partial 16S ribosomal RNA
Rfam family: Bacterial small subunit ribosomal RNA
Source: RNAcentral